UGGGUUUAGCACUGUUCUUCCCAGGUAG
Molecule: non-coding RNA, 28 nt
Filed under: Mus musculus (house mouse)
Lineage: Eukaryota; Metazoa; Chordata; Mammalia; Rodentia; Muridae
Source: RNAcentral